CCUCCAUGGAAGCAGGUCACAUCUCAUGCAAUCAGGCAGGGGAUUCCCUGUAACUUCUUCCAUCUACAGGUGAUGAUGGGAUGGAGCUCCAGCUCAAAAGAAAGACACAGAGGAUAACCCUUUACAAACCAUGCAAUGCUGCAGUACAAUGCUGUUUACAAUUUGCAAGUAGAGCCCAUUUGCUCCAGCCUAGCCUCCUGCUGAUGGACUAGGGACCCUUGCCAGCACAUCUUCUCCUAGGUCAUCUAACAAGGUGACUCCUAGGUUGGCAAUUUGCUUCUGAAGCUGUAAACAGAGAACUAGGAAAGCUUGUCAAGACCACUUCCUGCUUGGAAUAAGUCACACAGUUCAAUUUACUGGAGUAUUGUUCUCUUUGAGAUACUGCAUGUUCUGUGAGACCUCCUCCAGAUAAAAAUAGAUUGACAAGAUAGGAAAUGCUUGAAGUGGUCCUAAUCAUCAGGAUGAAAGCCAGGAAAAACAGAUUGUCCCAUGUCUACUAUUAACAUAAUUAAUGGCCUCAAGUUAUGAGAGGGGAGGUUUAGAUUGGAUUCUAGGAAACAUUUCUUCACUGAAGUGUUGUCAAGCAUUGGAUCAGGCUGCCCAGGGAAGUGGUGGGUCACCAUGCCUGGAGGUAUUUAAAAGACAUGUAGAUGUGGCACUUGAAGGACCUGGUUUAGUGGUGGACUUGGCAGAGCUGGGCUAAUGGUUGGACUCAACUUCAAGGGUCUUUUCCAGUCUAAAUUGUUCUGUGAUUCUGUAAUUCAGAUUAGCUUGGGUUUCAGUUCCCCCAGACUGACCAACUUCAUAGCUAGAUCUCUUUUUCUUCAGGGAUGUCAUGACAGAGUAGUUGGGACACUUCUGUCCUAUGGCAAGACUACAGUUACUGGCAUCAGCACUUCUGGUGGAGCAACAAACACAGGCUUAUGGAUCUCAGCAGUGCUGCCUAAUCAAUUUCCCUCCAGUGCAUUUCUGUGUGACUGAAUCACUGUGGGAUUUGCGUCCUUGUCAGUGUAAGCUUUGGGUGAGAAACUGUGCUGGGGUCUUCCACAAAAGCAGUGAGAGCUGCAACUGCUGUGAGCAAGACUUGGGAGUGCUUGUGGCCGUGCUUCAACCCCUUGUCCUCUGGAAGUCAACAGGUCUGAUAUUUUGA
This 1150-nucleotide long non-coding RNA is filed under the name Cyanistes caeruleus (blue tit). RNAcentral describes it as "lncRNA (ENSCCEG00000000134.1)". The record is from RNAcentral. Lineage: Eukaryota; Metazoa; Chordata; Aves; Passeriformes; Paridae.